Molecule: ribosomal RNA, 494 nt
Filed under: uncultured bacterium
Lineage: Bacteria
Description: partial 16S ribosomal RNA
Rfam family: Bacterial small subunit ribosomal RNA
Source: RNAcentral
GACGAACGCUGGCGGCGUGCUUAACACAUGCAAGUCGAACGGUGAAGCGCCUUCCUUUUUGGUGGGUGUGGAUGAGUGGCGAACGGGUGAGUAACACGUGAGUAACCUGCCCCCUUCUUCUGGAUAACCGCAUGAAAGUGUGGCUAAUACGGGAUAUUCUGGGUCUGUCGCAUGAUGGGUCUGGGAAAGAUAUUGUUUCGGUGGGGGAUGGGCUCGCGGCCUAUCAGCUUGUUGGUGGGGUGAUGGCCUACCAAGGCGGUGACGGGUAGCCGGCCUGGGGGGGUGGACGGUCACACUGGGACUGAGACACGGCCCAGACUCCUACGGGAGGCAGCAGUGGGGAAUAUUGCACAAUGGGCGCAAGCCUGAUGCAGCGACGCCGCGUGAGGGAUGGAGGCCUUCGGGUUGUGAACCUCUUUCGCCAGUGAAGCAGGCCUGCCUCGUUUGUGGGUGGGUUGACGGUAGCUGGAUAAGAAGCGCCGGCUAACUACGUG